ACGAGUCUCGAACUUCGAGGUGUUUCGCGUAAUUUGAUUACAAACUAAAUCAAAUUCCUAUAAGCUAUCCGCAGUAGCAUGUGAACUUGUUGCUACUUAUUUUGGUGGGUGGAUACUAGGUCCGACAUCUUCUGCGCCAAGCUAAUGGGUUUUAUUUGCUAGAAUUGAAUGUGACAAGCUGGGUCAUGAAAUGAAGCUUUAUAUGCAAUUUAAAUCCAAUGUCGUAUUAUUUAUGAGGAUAAGCUGCAUCGAUUUUUGCUACAUUGUAUCAUGAACGUACAUUAAAACUUGUGACAUCCGGAUGCCUUAUUUCAUCCCGGAGCUGACGUGCAUGCACUUCACGGAUGACGAAUUACCAUCUCCUUUCACCAGUAAUCGAAUAAAUUAUUAUAAAUUAUUAAUUUGAAUCACCUUUGCACAGACUUCAGGACGUAAAUACGUCAUAAUCAGAGCUGAACGUUCGAUUGAUUACUCAUUUGUGGAUUCAUAAUUUAUCGUGGUAACCCGAACAUUUUCAGCAUUUUGGCAUUUCAAGCCUAUUUAUGGACCUAAAAAAUUUGUGUGUGCUUGCAUGGAAAAUUAAUUUUAGUGAUGUUUGUAGUAUUAUUUAUUAGUUAGUGAUACAUAUUCAUAUAUGCACAUUGAUAAACUGUUCUACAAAAGUUUUUAACCUUCCGUUUGUACAAAUAGAAAAUAGGCAAGCAGGUAUUUAUUGCAGCCAGGUGUUAUCGUUGAAAUAUGUAUGACUCAUAUAUAUCAAUGAACAGUAAUCUGUGCUGGGAGCUAUGUAUUUUCAUGAUCUGAUGGAUGACAUAACCUAAUUUAAAUAAAUAUGGGUAUUGCUAAUUUGUAUGUACAGUGGUGGCUCCGGGUUGUCUGUCAACCAACGAUUCGACACAUGGCGUUUCUUUGUCCUUGCCUCGUCUCCUGGAUGCUACAUAAACCACUCCUCGUAAAAUAUUCAGGCGUGACACAGGUUAUUAUGCGGCCACUCUAUCUCAUUCCUGAUUUUGCAAGGUGUGGACAAGAUUCUGGGAACUAUUUAUCACCAAAAACCAUAAAAGUGACAUAAUCCUAACGUAGUUGGCGAACGGAGGGCAAAAGAUAAUUAUGUUUUCUUUCGUGCAUGAGGAUUUUCGUAGAAGACUGAUAUUACAUUAAUGUGCUUUUAAGUAUGCACUUAACAUAAAAUUCGAUUAAAAUAAAAUUGGUGAUCUUUGUGAUCUGACUUUUUGAUCUGAAAUAUGAAAAAGUUUCGGAAAUUUUUAUGAGCUGGUCGACCAUGGGUUUACCAGCAAUAAAAUGAUUCUACUGGCGAUUAGUUAUCAUCAUUAAAGAAGAUUCUCAAAAGUGGCAUUAUUUCCCAUCGCAUGCGACUGCGACCGUCACACACACACGAAAAAAUAAUUGGUUCCACUUUGUAAGCCGAUUUUCCUACGUGUUAGAUUUUUUUGUCUCGUUUGUUGUCCAUUCAGCCGCAGCCUUGUGCUGUUGUGUUGAUACACAAAUACUGCUUCUUCUUAUUAUGAGGUCGGAUUACCCAGUUAGUGCAAGUGAACCAUGAACAGUGACAUACGCCAUAAAUUUUAAGCGUUAUAUUCAAGAAAAAUUUAGCUUCUCGGAAAGUACGGCAAGAUUGAUCAGCUCAUUUGCGUAUACAAUUAGACAAAAUCUCGAUAAUAAUCUGGACGGAAUAUUUGUUCUUCACUUUUUUACAAUCUGGUCCAUCUUUAUUAUGUUCGUGAUGUAUUAAUGAGCUCGUAAUUAAGAUUCUCGCAAAUUGAAUUUGAAUUCACACAAGGAACAUAAUCUUGGGAAAUAAUUACAUUUCAUUAGCAACUUAUUCAUGCAAUCCAGCAAAUUCCAGAAUUUCCAGACUCACCACAUUUCACAUUUAUAAAUACUAAAUGUAAGCUAUUUUGGGAGUUAUAAAAUAAUCCAGAUUGAAGCCCAUUUUCUGUCGCCAAUGCACCUUAGACAAACGUCAACAAUUCCAAAAAUUGUACAUUCGUAUGAGGGAGACAAAACCACAAGGAAGAAGGCCGGCGGUUACAGUGGCAUCGCUGCUGGUUGAAUGGACACACACACACGACGAGGAGCGUAAUUACUUUUAGCCGUUGUGUAGAAUGACGCACGAACUGGCCAGACGACGAAGAAAUAAAUAUGCAUGAAUUGCAGGCUUGGAGAUGCUCUAUAAUCAAACCUGAAUAAGCUGCUCUCUUCCGAAAUCAAUUGUUGCGGGUAAAAAACAACAAAGUGAAAUUAUAGUACAGCAGGUCCUCAUAAAAUGAUCGGCCAGUGUGCAUUCUUCUAUGCAGAGAUGUGGUGGUUGCGCUGUGGGUUAAAAUAUAAACAAAAUGUGAUUGAUGGUUCCACGUAAGGUCACGCAAAGACGGAACUCUGUCGUAAAUGGCAUUACCACUCGUUCGGAAACGACGCCUUCAGUUUUGACCACAACCAAUUCCGCCGUCCUCGACAAUGAAUAACCUAAAUCCAUCUCUUGUGGUCAUCUCUGGCGUAAUUUAAUUAUAAUUUAAGCAAACUUUAUUUCCCAAACUAGUGCAAUUGCAAUUAGAAACUUGAUGUGCUCAAGUGCAAUAUUUGUGCGUGGUGUUACAAUAACUCAAAUAUAUAAAAAGCAAGUACAUAACUUUUCUAAGUGUUAACUUAACAAACAUUCCUUUACAUAAUGAGAGGACAAUUGAGCUCGACAUUGGCCCUGCUGCUUAUCUUUGGGACAUGCAGUGGAAGACCGGUGGAAGAAGAGGAUCAAGUGUCCUAUGAAAACCGCAUCAUCUUUCCAAGCGACGUCAACGACCAGGAGCAGGGAGGAGGCAUCAACUCCAGAAUCUUCCAAGUCAACCAAAGGAAAACUUGGUCGACCACAACUCCAAAUGCAUCUCAAGACAGCUGGAUUGUUGAAGAUGACGAUGACCUACUCGCAUCAAGCGACAAAAAUAAAAAUGUGCACUCGUCCAGUGAGCAUUUGCUGAUUAUGAGUGAUGAUGAUGGUGAAGAUCCAUCCGCGUCCGUGGGGUUUCGUAGAAAUUCACAUCGACAGAGCCAGCUGCAGAUCCUCAAGUCUUCGGACCCUUGUGAAAUUGGGUUCCGACAUCGCUUCUCGGCCAAAGGUGGUGGCAAGAUGAACAAGUGUCCACCCCGCAAUGUGAAAGGGUGACAUUCCGUACACAAGAUCAAAUCCUUGCUAUGAAAUAUCACCCUCCUCUGUGUCUUCUUUCUUAAAUAUGUACGUACAAAGUAAAUCGCAAAAUCUUGAAUACAAAUACAUUAGUUUCGUUCA
Folsomia candida is the source of this 3301-nucleotide long non-coding RNA. RefSeq lists it as uncharacterized. The transcript is spliced from 2 exons. NCBI's taxonomy places the organism in Eukaryota, Metazoa, Arthropoda, Collembola, Entomobryomorpha, Isotomidae. The record is from RefSeq and is a predicted model, not a curated record.